This is a non-coding RNA of Pelobates cultripes (western spadefoot toad), 244 nucleotides long. The record is from the annotation of a GenBank genome assembly. Lineage: Eukaryota; Metazoa; Chordata; Amphibia; Anura; Pelobatidae.
CUGGCUUGUCUGCAGCACUGGGGGGUGGACUUUGACAAUUAAUGUGUUUCACCUGACCUGACCAUAUUGACCCUGGCUUCUGACAUCGUUUUAUCUGACCUCUGGCUUCCUUUGACUUUGGCUACUCUUCAUUGAUCCUGACCUCUGGCAUCCUUUGACUUCGGCUAUCCCUUGCCUAUCCUGCUGUUUGUGUCCUUGCCUGUACUGCGACUUGAAACUUUAUCCUGCACAACACCGGGGAAAG